RNAcentral lists this ribosomal RNA (433 nucleotides) under uncultured bacterium. Its description in RNAcentral is "partial 16S ribosomal RNA". It matches the Rfam family "Bacterial small subunit ribosomal RNA", at positions 29 to 507 of the family's 1533-position model. The record is from RNAcentral.
AGCGAACGCUGGCGGCAGGCCUAACACAUGCAAGUCGAACGAACUCUUCGGAGUUAGUGGCGGACGGGUGGGUAACACGUGGGAACGUGCCUUUUGGUUCGGUAUAACUCAGGGAAACUUGUGCUAAUACCGAAUGUGCCCUUCGGGGGCAAGAUUUAUCGCCAUUAGAGCGGCCUGCGUCUGAUUAGCUAGUUGGUGAGGUAACGGCUCACCAAGGCGCCGAUCAGUAGCUGGUCGGAGAGGAUGACCAGCCACACUGGGACUGAGACACGGCCCAGACUCAUACGGGAGGCAGCAGUGGGGAAUCUUGCGCAAUGGGCGAGAGCCUGACGCAGCCAUGCGGCGUGAAUGAUGAAGGUCUUAGGAUUGUAAAAUUCUUUCACCGGGGACGAUAAUGACGGUACCCGGAGAAGAAGCCCCGGCUAACUACGUG